Ziziphus jujuba (common jujube) is the source of this 1592-nucleotide long non-coding RNA. RefSeq lists it as uncharacterized. Lineage: Eukaryota; Viridiplantae; Streptophyta; Magnoliopsida; Rosales; Rhamnaceae. The record is from RefSeq and is a predicted model, not a curated record. The transcript is spliced from 3 exons.
AACUUGUAAAUUAAUGAAUUAUUGUUACUCUGUUUUUUUUUUUUUUUGAAUAAAGUGAAAUUAGUUAAAGAUGAAAAAAAGAAUGUACGUCCUGAGCUAGGUAAGAACCCAGAGAACAAAGGGCUUCUCGUCAAUCGUGUAAUACCACCAUAUGCUUGACUCUGUUUUUGUUCUGUUUAUCUUAGAGUCCUGACAAUAGUGAAUUAGAAUAUCUAUAUUACUUAUAAGGAGAUUUACCACAAGAUCUAAACUAAAUGGAACUAAAUCAUUGAUGAUAAGUUUCCACAUGUAUCUAUUCUUUCUUUUGGUUGGCUGUUUCAAAAUUAAUCAUGCUAACUUUUGCUUUUUAAUUGAAUUGGGAGGUAAAUACAGUGAUUUUUGAGUGUUUCAAAUUUAAUGUAUAGUUAUGCUUUACUGAAUUCUACUAACAUAUUUCAGUUGAGUUCUGGAUUAGUUGCUGUUUUUGGCUUUGAUUUAGGGUUUUGAAUUAGUAGUGGGUGAAAUAAAGUUUAUGUUAUUAAAUCACGUGUGAAUGGAAUUAACCUUGAAAUGGAAAUAAGAAUUUAUUAUCAUUAAAUUUAAAUGCUCUGUCUCUCCUCUGUUAUUUUUUUAAUAUAUAUAUAUAUAUAUAUAGAUAUAUAUUUUUUUAGCUAUUCAACUUUUUGUUGGUGGGUUAAUGUAAAUUUCUUGGGUCUGUCUUUAAUUGGUAGUUAUUUUUUUAUUUAAUUUUUUUUUUUUUUUGGGUGGUGAAUUUCUUAGCUCAGUUGAAUCAGAUUUUGUGUGGGUUUUAUUGGAUGAUUUUCCAAAUGAAAGCAUAAUGUUGGGACCUUUUUUAUUGUGAUGUGAACACUACUUCGAAUUUUUCAGCUGGUUGGUGUUUUCCUCUUAUGGCUUUUAAUCUUCUAAAGAUGGUUGAUGCUAUAAACUUAAUAGGUAUUAUGGUUGGGAGUGUGUACUUAUGAUCAUUAAACUGGUGCUUUUUCUUUGGCUGCCUGGUUCCUCGACUCUUUCAGGGGAGUGGGCAUUUUGUUGUGUUACGUUACUUUCAUAGGUUGCAUUGCAGGUGAAGCAAUUAAUGGGUGCUGCCUCUGUUUCUAUGCUCAUAACCGUAAUCAUUAUGUUAAAAGUGGCUUUGGUGGCAUUCAUUGCAAUAGAUCAUCAUUGGAAAACGGUAUAUAUAAUUUUUUUACAUAUUUAUCGAAUUCAGUAAUAAUGAAUCCGAGGAUGUAAAUCCUCCUGGGCAUCAUGCACAUCCCACUAUGUAGCCUGUUUAAUUUUACCAACCAGAAUCUUCCCUUUGACCCCCAACUGGUGAAUUUCUGACUAUCGGAUCCCUCAUUGAAGCCAAUGUUGACGUUUGUAAGUUGGUCGGUAUCACAAUCGUUGUAAUACAGGAGAGUUGGCUACGAUGGUAGGGCUACAACUAGGUAGCCAUUGCUUAAUCCACAAUCAAGCCAAGCAUCUGGAUUAGUGAAGGUUGAUGGCAGUGGGGGCUCACUCUGACAUAUGUAGUGUUAUUAUUUAUUUUUUGUUUUUUGGAUGAUAUAAUAUUCUGUUUUUCCUUUCUCUGAUAAUAAAACUACUUUCACCUA